Molecule: ribosomal RNA, 750 nt
Filed under: uncultured Basidiomycota
Lineage: Eukaryota; Fungi; Basidiomycota
Description: eukaryotic LSU rRNA
Rfam family: Eukaryotic large subunit ribosomal RNA (bases 555-750)
Source: RNAcentral
GCGCGAAUGUCAUGAACGAGUCCUGGACGGGUGGGUGCUGGCCUUCCGAGGCAUGUGACGCCGUGCUCAUCUCUCUACACCUGUGCACUUACUGUAGGUUGUCGUGGGUUUCAAGCCUCCGGGUUGGAAGCAUUCUGCCGGCCUAUGUACACUACAAACUCUUAAAGUAUCACAAUGAAAACGCGUCUAACGCAUCUUAAUACAACUUUCUUCAACGGAUCUCUUGGCUCUCGCAUCUAUGAACAACCCAUGGAAAUGCGAUAAUUAAUGUGAAUUGGCCAAUUCAGAUGAAUCUGAAAAUCUUUGAACGCACCUUGCGCUCCUUGGUAUUCCGAGGAGCAUGCCUGUUUGAUUGUCAUGAAAUUCUCAACCCAUACAUCCUUGUGAUCUAUGGGCUUGGAUUUGGAGGCUUGCUGGCCCUAGCGGUCGGCUCCUCUUGAAUGCAUUAACUUGAUUCCGUGCGGAUCGGCUCUCAGUGUGAUAAGUGUCUACGCUGUGACCGUGAAGCGUUUUGGCAAACUUCUAACCGUCCAUUAGGACAAUUUUAUAACAUCUGACCUCAACUCACGUAGGACUACCCGCUGAACUUAAGCAUAUCAAUAAACGGAGGAAAAUAAAAUAAGGAGGAUUCUCCUAGUAACUGCAAGUGAAGCGGGAAAAGCUCACAUUUAAGAUCUGGCGGGCUUUGGCCGUCCGAGUUGUAGUCUGGAGAAGCGUCUUUCCACGCUGGACCGUGUACAAGUCUCCUGA